AAGGAGCACCGGAUCUUGGGCUGUGUCCCCGGCACACUGUGCUUUGGAGCCUGCGCUGUUGGAAUCACUCUCCUGGCCAUGCAGCCCCCU
RNAcentral lists this microRNA precursor (90 nucleotides) under Canis lupus familiaris (dog). RNAcentral's name for it is "mir-8799 microRNA precursor family". It matches the Rfam family "mir-8799 microRNA precursor family". The record is from Rfam by way of RNAcentral. Lineage: Eukaryota; Metazoa; Chordata; Mammalia; Carnivora; Canidae.